AUGUGUUCAUGGCACAACGGUU
Molecule: microRNA, 22 nt
Filed under: Parasteatoda tepidariorum (common house spider)
Lineage: Eukaryota; Metazoa; Arthropoda; Arachnida; Araneae; Theridiidae
Description: pte-miR-11963b-5p
Source: miRBase by way of RNAcentral